UACGUAGGGUGCGAGCGUUGUCCGGAAUUACUGGGCGUAAAGAGCGCGUAGGUGGUUUGUCGCGUUGUUCGUGAAAACUCACAGCUUAACUGUGGGCGUGCGGGCGAUACGGGCAGACUGGAGUACUGCAGGGGAGACUGGAAUUCCUGGUGUAGCGGUGGAAUGCGCAGAUAUCAGGAGGAACACCGGUGGCGAAGGCGGGUCUCUGGGCCGAUACUGACGCUGAGGAGCGAAAGCGUGGGGAGCGAACAGG
Molecule: ribosomal RNA, 253 nt
Filed under: uncultured bacterium
Lineage: Bacteria
Description: partial 16S ribosomal RNA
Rfam family: Bacterial small subunit ribosomal RNA
Source: RNAcentral